ACUCCUACGGGAGGCAGCAGUGGGGAAUAUUGCACAAUGGGGAAACCCUGAUGCAGCCAUGCCGCGUGUGUGAAGAAGGCCUUCGGUUGUAAAGCACUUUCAGUAGGGAGGAAGGUAGUGUAGUUAACACCUGCACUAUUUGACGUUACCUACAGAAGAAGCACCGGCUAACUCCGUGCCAGCAGCCGCGGUAAUACGGAGGGGUGCGAGCGUUAAUCGGAAUUACUGGGCGUAAAGCGCAUGCAGGCGGCCUGUUAAGUCAGAUGUGAAAGCCCGGGGGCUUAACCUCGGAAUUGCAUUUGAAACUGGCAGGCUAGAGUCUGUAGAGGGGGUAGAAGUUUCAGGUGUAGCGGUGAAAUGCGUAGAGAUCUGAAGGAAUACCAGUGGCGAAGGCGGCCCCCUGGACAAAGACUGACGCUCAGAUGCGAAAGCGUGGGGAGCG
Molecule: ribosomal RNA, 442 nt
Filed under: uncultured bacterium
Lineage: Bacteria
Description: bacterial SSU rRNA
Rfam family: Bacterial small subunit ribosomal RNA
Source: RNAcentral